CGGACAGAGCUGGCGUAUCUGGCCUGUAUUCAGCCGUGCGUCCGUUGGCGUCAGGGAUGCCGCCCUCCAGAUUGGGACGGUGGCCUGUCUGCUGGCGGAUGUGUGGUGCAUUUGCAGGUGGAGUGCGCUGAGGCGCUCGGGUCAGCGGCAUGAGCUCAGUGUUGAGGCCAGCCCCUCACGGGGUCUGGUACCCGCAUUGUGGGGAGUGCUGUUUGUCCUGGGUGUGUGGAGGGCAAUGGUUUCGGGUUCGUGUGGGUGCCGAGCUGGCAGUCGGUGGCGGUCGCGUGCGACACGUGCCAGCGGUCAGUUCGGUCCUGCUCGAGCUCUCAUCUGCUCGUCCUCGGUGUAAAAGCCGGUCAUCUGUCCGACCCGUCUUGAAACACGGACCAAGGAGUUUAGCGUGUGCGCGAGUCAUUGGGCGUUGAAAACCCAAAGGCGCAAUGAAAGUGAAGGUCUCCCUUGCGGAGCUGAUGUGUGAUCCUGGGCACUGCGGUGCACACCGGGCGCAACAUAGUCCCGUCCCGAUCGCUUGCGAUGGGGCGGAGACAGAGCGUACACGCUGAG
Molecule: ribosomal RNA, 564 nt
Filed under: Rotylenchus robustus
Lineage: Eukaryota; Metazoa; Nematoda; Chromadorea; Rhabditida; Hoplolaimidae
Description: eukaryotic LSU rRNA
Rfam family: Eukaryotic large subunit ribosomal RNA
Source: RNAcentral